GAUGAACGCUGGCGGCGUGCCUAAUACAUGCAAGUCGAGCGAACGGACGAGAAGCUUGCUUCUCUGAUGUUAGCGGCGGACGGGUGAGUAACACGUGGAUAACCUACCUAUAAGACUGGGAUAACUUCGGGAAACCGGAGUUAAUACCGGAUGAUAUUUUGAACCGCAUGGUUCAAAAGUGAAAGACGGUCUUGCUGUCACUUAUAGAUGGAUCCGCGCUGCAUUAGCUAGUUGGUAAGGUAACGGCUUACCAAGGCAACGAUGCAUAGCCGACCUGAGAGGGUGAUCGGCCACACUGGAACUGAGACACGGUCCAGACUCCUACGGGAGGCAGCAGUAGGGAAUCUUCCGCAAUGGGCGAAAGCCUGACGGAGCAACGCCGCGUGAGUGAUGAAGGUCUUCGGAUCGUAAAACUCUGUUAUUAGGGAAGAACAUAUGUGUAAGUAACUGUGCACAUCUUGACGGUACCUAAUCAGAAAGCCACGGCUAACUACGUGCCAGCAGCCGCGGUAAUACGUAGGUGGCAAGCGUUAUCCCGGAUUAUUGGGCGUGAGCGCGCGUAGGCGGUUUUUUAGGUCUGAUGUGAAAGCCCACGGCUCAACCGUGGAGGGUCAUUGGAAACUGGAAAACUUGAGUGCAGAAGAGGAAAGUGGAAUUCCAUGUGUAGCGGUGAAAUGCGCAGAGAUAUGGAGGAACACCAGUGGCGAAGGCGACUUUCUGGUCUGUAACUGACGCUGAUGUGCGAAAGCGUGGGGAUCAAACAGGAUUAGAUACCCUGGUAGUCCACGCCGUAAACGAUGAGUGCUAAGUGUUAGGGGGUUUCCGCCCCUUAGUGCUGCAGCUAACGCAUUAAGCACUCCGCCUGGGGAGUACGACCGCAAGGUUGAAACUCAAAGGAAUUGACGGGGACCCGCACAAGCGGUGGAGCAUGUGGUUUAAUUCGAAGCAACGCGAAGAACCUUACCAAAUCUUGACAUCCUUUGACAACUCUAGAGAUAGAGCCUUCCCCUUCGGGGGACAAAGUGACAGGUGGUGCAUGGUUGUCGUCAGCUCGUGUCGUGAGAUGUUGGGUUAAGUCCCGCAACGAGCGCAACCCUUAAGCUUAGUUGCCAUCAUUAAGUUGGGCACUCUAAGUUGACUGCCGGUGACAAACCGGAGGAAGGUGGGGAUGACGUCAAAUCAUCAUGCCCCUUAUGAUUUGGGCUACACACGUGCUACAAUGGACAAUACAAAGGGCAGCGAAACCGCGAGGUCAAGCAAAUCCCAUAAAGUUGUUCUCAGUUCGGAUUGUAGUCUGCAACUCGACUACAUGAAGCUGGAAUCGCUAGUAAUCGUAGAUCAGCAUGCUACGGUGAAUACGUUCCCGGGUCU
RNAcentral lists this ribosomal RNA (1371 nucleotides) under uncultured bacterium. RNAcentral's name for it is "bacterial SSU rRNA". It matches the Rfam family "Bacterial small subunit ribosomal RNA", at positions 28 to 1381 of the family's 1533-position model. The record is from RNAcentral.